Molecule: ribosomal RNA, 439 nt
Filed under: uncultured bacterium
Lineage: Bacteria
Description: bacterial SSU rRNA
Rfam family: Bacterial small subunit ribosomal RNA
Source: RNAcentral
AACGCGAAGAACCUUACCAAGGUUUGACAUGCAGGGAAAAGCAUCAGAGAUGGUGUGUCCUUCGGGGUCCUGCACAGGUGGUGCAUGGCUGUCGUCAGCUCGUGUCGUGAGAUGUUGGGUUAAGUCCCGCAACGAGCGCAACCCUCGUCCUAUGUUGCCAGCGGGUCAUGCCGGGAACUCAUGGGAGACUGCCGGGGUCAACUCGGAGGAAGGUGGGGAUGACGUCAAGUCAUCAUGCCCCUUAUGUCUUGGGCUGCAAACAUGCUACAAUGGCCGGUACAAAGGGCUGCGAACUCGUGAGGGUAAGCGAAUCCCAUAAAGCCGGUCUCAGUUCGGAUCGGGGUCUGCAACUCGGCCCCGUGAAGCCGGAGUCGCUAGUAAUCGCGGAUCAGCAACGCCGCGGUGAAUACGUUCCCGGGCCUUGUACACACCGUGUCGA